This is a long non-coding RNA of Polypterus senegalus (gray bichir), 2357 nucleotides long. RefSeq lists it as uncharacterized. The record is from RefSeq and is a predicted model, not a curated record. NCBI's taxonomy places the organism in Eukaryota, Metazoa, Chordata, Cladistia, Polypteriformes, Polypteridae. The transcript has 2 exons.
GAGAGGUCAUUCGUCGACAGACAAGCGUGUUAUCAGUGAGAGGCACUUUCUGGUCUUUUUUUUCUGCUUAUAUGAAAUUUACAGAUGCGGAUAUGCAGAAAGGAACAUGGGAAAUGGUCAGAGCCAGCACCACCCAGAUAAAGCAUCUCUGCCUGGAAUUGUUCCAACAGAAGAUGGUGCUGUGGUGGUGCACACCACUAGUCCCCCUACUCAAAAUGAAGAUGGAGGCCAGUUGGAUGAUCUGCCCCAGCGCAAAAUGGGGGAAAAGGAAGUGGAUGACAUGUGCUUCAUGAUUGUCUGUACGAACUGGUAUUAAAAUCAUGAAGACACUUGCAUUCUGGGUACUUAAUGUUACUGAUUUAUUAUUAUUCUUGUAUCUGGCUGUCGGAAGAUCACAUUAGACAGCAGGAUGGCCACAUUUAAUGUAUCUGCUCCAAGAGUUAUAUAUUGAUGUCUGUAAUUUUACUGUUAAAGUGGAGAGGGCUAGAAGAGAGAUUUUAGAGUAGAAGCGAACAGGAGCUAUCAAAUGUUGUGUUACUUAUGCAUUAGUUCUGACUUUUGAACUCAUUGUGUAUAUUUAUGGCAACCCACUGAGAUCUAUGAGUUGGAGGAAACCUGAAGAUCUUAAUUUGGUGUAAUAAUUGGGAGAUGUAGGUGGACUGGCCUGUGUGCCUCUGUGACAAUUUGCCUUUGUGUAGACACUUGAGCCUGGUGGGUAUGAGGCAUUUCGAGGUGGCAGGAGUUGGGCGGGCAGAGUUUAAUAUAUGACCACAUAAGCAGUAUUGUUCAUUCCUUGCAGCACUAUAAAAUAAAUGAAUUGCUUCUCAGUGCAUUUUGAUGUGUUCUGACUGAUGAUUCUAAUUUCUAGUGACUAAGAUGUCCAGGAUUGCAGGAGUGUACUGCUGAUCAGCAGUUUCUCUCAGUCAGGGUCGGUGCCUGUCUAAACAAAUCAAUUUUGAUUUUCAGUGCAUGAAAAAAUUAAAAUUAAAAAUAGUACACUUGAAUGUAAAAUGAAAGUAUUACAGAACUAUGUUGUAAACAGUUGUUCCCUAAACUGUGAACAGCAAAGGAAUAUGCUUUUGCUUAUAGAAAAAUAAGUUGGGAACGGAAAAGAAAUUAAUAAGCAGGGUCACCAGAGUAUUAAUAAUUUCUUAUCAUCACAAACCCCAGUUAUAUAGAACAUCUGCAUUUCAUGGCAUUUUUAACUGUGUUGCUUUAAUUUUUGUGUCUCUUUGGCUCUCACAAGAAAACAUUGCCAUAGUGUUAUGCAGCAGUGGAUUUAGUUUGGCUUUCUUGAUACUGAUCAAUAGAAAAAGAUUCUUUUAAUGCCAAAGUGAAAACAUGUGUCUGCAUCUAAAUUAAUUACAAAUAUAAAACAUAAAAAUAGCUGAUUGCAUAAGUAUUUAAUAUGACACACCUAAAUCAUCACUGGAGCAGUCAAUUGGUUUUAAUAAUCUCAGAAUUAGUCUGGGUGGCACUAGAUUGCAGUCUAAAUGCUCUUUAUCUGGAAGGUCCAGUCAGUGUGUUGGUCUAAUAUACACAAUGAAGACAAAAGACUCAAAGCAACUCCAUGAAAAGGUAAUUGAAAAGCAUAAGUCAAGGGACAGAGAAGACAAGAAACUAUCCACAUCAGUGAUUAUCCCUUGUAGUCCAGUUAAAUCAAUCAUUAAGAAAUGGAAAGAAUAUGACACAGCUGAGAAUCUGCUUAGAGCAGACUGUCUACAAAAACUAAGUCAUUUUAAAGAAGAAGAAGACUAGUGUGGGAAGCUACCAUGAGACUUAUGAGAGUUCUGAAUGAGUAACAUGAUACAGUGGCUUAGAUUGGAGAGUGCGAAUGACAAUUGUUGAUGGUUGCUUCACCAAUCUCAGAUUUAUGGGAGAAAGGAAAAGAAAAAACACUGUUAAAAAAAAAAAAGGCAAAUGGCAGACUCUGAAGUCAGUUGGAAGAAGGUUUUGGCCAUGAGACUAAACUUCAUGUUUUAUUACUGCGCAUUAUCAUAAACACCUCAUCCUCACCGUGAAGCAUGGUGGUUAUAGCAUCAUUCUGUGGAGGUGCUUCUCUGCUGCAGGGCAUGAAAGGCUUGUGAGGAUAGAGGGUCAAAUGAAUGUGGUAAAAAUAAGUGGACAUUUUGGAGGAGAACCUGAUGCAGUUUGCAAGAAACCUGUGUAUUUUCUAGCCAGACAAUGACCAUAAGCAGUAACAAUUUGAAUGUCCUGGAGUGGCUGAGUCAGAGUCAAGAUCUCAAUCCAACUGAGAAUCUGCGGCCAGAUGUAAAUAAAGUUGUUCACUUACAAACUCCAUGCAACCUGACAUGGUAAUUCAAUGCUGUAUAACAAUAAAAUAUGAAACCUUUGAA